Molecule: long non-coding RNA, 508 nt
Organism: Pipra filicauda (Wire-tailed manakin)
Lineage: Eukaryota; Metazoa; Chordata; Aves; Passeriformes; Pipridae
Exons: 2
Source: RefSeq, a predicted model, not a curated record
GAUACCUUUCUCCUCUCCUCUGCAGCCUCCAGCUUUUUCUGGAUCUCCUCAAGAGAGAGUUCUUUCUUCUUUGGAGAAGCUAAAGUUCGUGGUGCUUCUGAGACUGGAGAUGGCGGCUUUAGGAUCAGUUCAAAGGCCUGGCCUGAGGCACGUUUGUUGAUUUGUUUCACUUCCAUGUCUGCACAAUAAAGUGUGAAAUGAGUUCCUCAACCGUAACUGGAACUUGGCUCGAAUACCCACAGAAAUUCCGGAGGCUGCUGCAACCCUGGGAACCAAACAACCUGCCAUGCUGGCAAACACUGCUUUUCCUGUUGUAAACUUAAGGGUUGAGGGCAUCAAAGGAAAUGAGGAGCUACCCUUCUCCUCAGGUGUCCAACAUCAGCAUCAUCAUGACAUGUCCCCCUCAACCAAGCUUACUUGGCAGCAUUGAGCAGCAGGAGCCCUGCUUUGCUUAGCUGUCCUUUCCUUAAACAUUUCCUUAAAAUACAUUAAAAAACCUGAAAGCAGU